AACGGUCGUACCAUGGUGAAUAUACCGGUUCUCGUUAGAUCACCGAAGUCAAGCAUCAUUCGGGCCGGUCAGUACUUGGGUGGGUGACCACCUGGGAACACUGCGUGCCGU
RNAcentral lists this ribosomal RNA (111 nucleotides) under Caerostris darwini. Lineage: Eukaryota; Metazoa; Arthropoda; Arachnida; Araneae; Araneidae. The record is from RNAcentral.